Molecule: ribosomal RNA, 1245 nt
Filed under: Escherichia coli
Lineage: Bacteria; Pseudomonadati; Pseudomonadota; Gammaproteobacteria; Enterobacterales; Enterobacteriaceae
Description: partial 23S ribosomal RNA
Rfam family: Bacterial large subunit ribosomal RNA
Source: RNAcentral
CAGUAGCGGCGAGCGAACGGGGAGGAGCCCAGAGCCUGAAUCAGUGUGUGUGUUAGUGGAAGCGUCUGGAAAGGCGCGCGAUACAGGGUGACAGCCCCGUACACAAAAAUGCACAUGCUGUGAGCUCGAUGAGUAGGGCGGGACACGUGGUAUCCUGUCUGAAUAUGGGGGGACCAUCCUCCAAGGCUAAAUACUCCUGACUGACCGAUAGUGAACCAGUACCGUGAGGGAAAGGCGAAAAGAACCCCGGCGAGGGGAGUGAAAAAGAACCUGAAACCGUGUACGUACAAGCAGUGGGAGCACGCUUAGGCGUGUGACUGCGUACCUUUUGUAUAAUGGGUCAGCGACUUAUAUUCUGUAGCAAGGUUAACCGAAUAGGGGAGCCGAAGGGAAACCGAGUCUUAACUGGGCGUUAAGUUGCAGGGUAUAGACCCGAAACCCGGUGAUCUAGCCAUGGGCAGGUUGAAGGUUGGGUAACACUAACUGGAGGACCGAACCGACUAAUGUUGAAAAAUUAGCGGAUGACUUGUGGCUGGGGGUGAAAGGCCAAUCAAACCGGGAGAUAGCUGGUUCUCCCCGAAAGCUAUUUAGGUAGCGCCUCGUGAAUUCAUCUCCGGGGGUAGAGCACUGUUUCGGCAAGGGGGUCAUCCCGACUUACCAACCCGAUGCAAACUGCGAAUACCGGAGAAUGUUAUCACGGGAGACACACGGCGGGUGCUAACGUCCGUCGUGAAGAGGGAAACAACCCAGACCGCCAGCUAAGGUCCCAAAGUCAUGGUUAAGUGGGAAACGAUGUGGGAAGGCCCAGACAGCCAGGAUGUUGGCUUAGAAGCAGCCAUCAUUUAAAGAAAGCGUAAUAGCUCACUGGUCGAGUCGGCCUGCGCGGAAGAUGUAACGGGGCUAAACCAUGCACCGAAGCUGCGGCAGCGACGCUUAUGCGUUGUUGGGUAGGGGAGCGUUCUGUAAGCCUGCGAAGGUGUGCUGUGAGGCAUGCUGGAGGUAUCAGAAGUGCGAAUGCUGACAUAAGUAACGAUAAAGCGGGUGAAAAGCCCGCUCGCCGGAAGACCAAGGGUUCCUGUCCAACGUUAAUCGGGGCAGGGUGAGUCGACCCCUAAGGCGAGGCCGAAAGGCGUAGUCGAUGGGAAACAGGUUAAUAUUCCUGUACUUGGUGUUACUGCGAAGGGGGGACGGAGAAGGCUAUGUUGGCCGGGCGACGGUUGUCCCGGUUUAAGCGUGUAGGCUGGU